CUGCGAAGGGAUCAUU
Molecule: ribosomal RNA, 16 nt
Filed under: Sirococcus conigenus
Lineage: Eukaryota; Fungi; Ascomycota; Sordariomycetes; Diaporthales
Also listed under: 1 other name
Description: partial 18S ribosomal RNA
Source: RNAcentral